RNAcentral lists this ribosomal RNA (250 nucleotides) under uncultured bacterium. RNAcentral describes it as "partial 16S ribosomal RNA". It matches the Rfam family "Bacterial small subunit ribosomal RNA", at positions 524 to 773 of the family's 1533-position model. The record is from RNAcentral.
UACGUAGGGUGCAAGCGUUAAUCGGAAUUACUGGGCGUAAAGCGUGCGCAGGCGGUCGCGUAAGCCAGAUGUGAAAGCCCCGGGCUUAACCUGGGAAUUGCAUUUGGUACUGCGUGGCUGGAGUGCGGCAGAGGGAGGUGGAAUUCCUGGUGUAGCAGUGAAAUGCGUAGAGAUCAGGAGGAACACCGAUGGCGAAGGCAGCCUCCUGGGCCAGCACUGACGCUCAUGCACGAAAGCGUGGGGAGCAAAC